This 427-nucleotide ribosomal RNA is filed under the name uncultured bacterium. RNAcentral describes it as "partial 16S ribosomal RNA". It matches the Rfam family "Bacterial small subunit ribosomal RNA", at positions 355 to 774 of the family's 1533-position model. The record is from RNAcentral.
UGGGGAAUAUUGCACAAUGGGCGCAAGCCUGAUGCAGCCAUGCCGCGUGUAUGAAGAAGGCCUUCGGGUUGUAAAGUACUUUCAGCGAGGAGGAAGGCGGUAAGGUUAAUAACCUUAUCGAUUGACGUUACUCGCAGAAGAAGCACCGGCUAACUCCGUGCCAGCAGCCGCGGUAAUACGGAGGGAGCAAGCGUUAAACGGAAUUACUGGGCGUAAAGCGCACGCAGGCGGUCUGUCAAGUCGGAUGUGAAAUCCCCAGGCUCAACCUGGGAACUGCAUUCGAAACUGGCAGGCUAGAGUCUUGUAGAGGGGGGUAGAAUUCCAGGUGUAGCGGUGAAAUGCGUAGAGAUCUGGAGGAAUACCGGUGGCGAAGGCGGCCCCCUGGACAAAGACUGACGCUCAGGUGCGAAAGCGUGGGGAGCAAACA